This 1527-nucleotide unclassified non-coding RNA is filed under the name Hevea brasiliensis (rubber tree). Lineage: Eukaryota; Viridiplantae; Streptophyta; Magnoliopsida; Malpighiales; Euphorbiaceae. The record is from RNAcentral.
UAACAAAACCACGAUGCUUGCAGGAUGUAUAAAGAGUGCGGAUAUCUCCAUAUUGCUCAAAUAAGGCUCUUAACUCAGAAUCUUCAACAUUGCUAUUUAUAUUUCUCACAAAAAGAGUUCGAGAAGGGCGUUCACCAAAAGGGUGUUCUCCAGAAAUUGAACCACUGCUGAACCCUAUCUGACCAUUAGACAUUCCUACAUGAAAUUCAAUAUCAUUCUGUGCUGCAGGACUAUCAUCUCCCAAAUCCAAUCCACCAAUACUGUUAAAAAAGUCUAAGUCCUCCAUAUCAUCUCUGACACUGGAUUGGUUGAUAUUGUCCAGCUUAUCAGUCAUUCCACUAAACAAGUCAUCAUCACUGGGAAGAAGGUUUCCAAUGGUUUGGGCCUCAAUUUCUUCAAGGGAUUCAAAAGGUUCCUCUUCCUCAAAGUGGGAGGCAACAGUAUCAACAGAAUGGCCAUAUGUAACCUUGUUUGAGGAAAACCUCAACUUUCUACUAAAUAAUUCGGAUAACGAGCUUGAGAAGAGACUGUUCUCAUACUGAGUUGCCAUCAUGUCAACUUUGCCACCUUCUGGAAAACAAGAUGCUGGCUGUACAUUUAAACUGGAUCUUGUCUCAUGGACCACAGGUCUCAACAAAGUUGAGGACUGACUCAUUGUUGUCCCUGGUCCCACUGCAUGCUUAAUUAAGCUAUGAUUCAAUUUCUGAUCCUGCAUUAGGAAAGACUGAUGAAGUUCAAGUGACUUUGCUGACUGACAUCCCACAGCUCCAAGAUUUUCCAGGGGGGACGUAGGUACUGAUUUCCCAGUGGCAUGGAGAUCAGAUGUGGUGUCCAAGUUCCAGAACCCAAUAUGUCUCUCACUAGCAAAAGAUGCAUCCUCAGAGAAGAAUGAUGAUGAGGACAAAGUCGACGAACUCUUUGUUUCAGAUGGCAUGAUGAUUGAUACCUAGAAAUCUAUAAACUCAAAACAAGAAGGUCCCGGCUGGCCUAAUACCGUAUGGGCAUUGCACACCUUUAUAAACAGAAUCCAAAAUCUCUCUCCUCUCCAGCAAUGGAAACUCUUAUUAAAUAUAAAAAGGAUUACAAUUCAGAGCGAGGAGAGAAAAGGCGGACAUGAGCGAGAGAACAAUUUAAACAGAGUUGACACAGAGCGAGAGAUGGAAUAAAUUACGCCAUAAGGCAAGGAAAAUUGAAUGCAGAAGCUAUAAUCUUGGCAUCUGUGCCGUGUAAGAUCCUCCAAACCCUAAGUUGAUUCUCUUUUCCCUGCAUUGCACGUUAACCAUCACCACCUCCUAUCUCACUUCUCCAUUUCUUUUUUUAUACUUUCAUGAUUGUCUCUCCCCUUUAAACUUUCUCUCGCUUCAGGUCCCGUGGAGCAGUGGAAAUUCCCGUCGGAAUCUAUUAAGUUUCCGGCGAGAACAGACUCUCCGGCGAGAUUGCGAAAUUUCUCGCCAGAGACAGGUGAGAGAAAUCGAUAUGGCUCUCGCUUAAACGUGGAACCGUUUAUUGCAAAAAAAGGAACUAAAC